AGACCCGAAACCCGGUGAUCUAGCCAUGGGCAGGUUGAAGGUUGGGUAACACUAACUGGAGGACCGAACCGACUAAUGUUGAAAAAUUAGCGGAUGACCUGUGGCUGGGGGUGAAAGGCCAAUCAAACCGGGAGAUAGCUGGUUCUCCCCGAAAGCUAUUUAGGUAGCGCCUCGUGAAUUCAUCUCCGGGGGUAGAGCACUGUUUCGGCUAGGGGGCCAUCCCGGCUUACCAACCCGAUGCAAACUGCGAAUACCGGAGAAUGUUAUCACGGGAGACACACGGCGGGUGCUAACGUCCGUCGUGAAGAGGGAAACAACCCAGACCGCCAGCUAAGGUCCCAAAGUCAUGGUUAAGUGGGAAACGAUGUGGGAAGGCCCAGACAGCCAGGAUGUUGGCUUAGAAGCAGCCAUCAUUUAAAGAAAGCGUAAUAGCUCACUGGUCGAGUCGGCCUGCGCGGAAGAUGUAACGGGGCUAAACCAUGCACCGAAGCUGCGGCAGCGAACGUAUCACCCAAGACAACUUUACGGAGUUGACGAUUGACGGAGCGAAGCGACGUCAAAGCGUUCAUUAAAGUCGAGUUGGCUUAGGGAUACGUUCGUUGGGUAGGGGAGCGUUCUGUAAGCCUGUGAAGGUGUGUCGUGAGGCAUGCUGGAGGUAUCAGAAGUGCGAAUGCUGACAUAAGUAACGAUAAAGCGGGUGAAAAGCCCGCUCGCCGGAAGACCAAGGGUUCCUGUCCAACGUUAAUCGGGGCAGGGUGAGUCGACCCCUAAGGCGAGGCCGAAAGGCGUAGUCGAUGGGAAACGGGUUAAUAUUCCCGUACUUGGUGUUACUGCGAAGGGGGGACGGAGAAGGCUAUGUUGGCCGGGCGACGGUUGUCCCGGUUUAAGCGUGUAGGUGUGUGUUCCAGGUAAAUCCGGUUCACUUUAACACUGAGGCGUGACGACGAGGCACUACGGUGCUGAAGCAACAAAUGCCCUGCUUCCAGGAAAAGCCUCUAAGCAUCAGGUAACAUCAAAUCGUACCCCAAACCGACACAGGUGGUCAGGUAGAGAAUACCAAGGCGCUUGAGAGAACUCGGGUGAAGGAACUAGGCAAAAUGGUGCCGUAACUUCGGGAGAAGGCACGCUGACACGUAGGUGAAGUGAUUUACUCAUGGAGCUGAAGUCAGUCGAAGAUACCAGCUGGCUGCAACUGUUUAUUAAAAACACAGCACUGUGCAAACACGAAAGUGGACGUAUACGGUGUGACGCCUGCCCGGUGCCGGAAGGUUAAUUGAUGGGGUCAGCGCAAGCGAAGCUCCUGAUCGAAGCCCCGGUAAACGGCGGCCGUAACUAUAACGGUCCUAAGGUAGCGAAAUUCCUUGUCGGGUAAGUUCCGACCUGCACGAAUGGCGUAAUGAUGGCCAGGCUGUCUCCACCCGAGACUCAGUGAAAUUGAACUCGCUGUGAAGAUGCAGUGUACCCGCGGCAAGACGGAAAGACCCCGUGAACCUUUACUAUAGCUUGACACUGAACAUUGAGCCUUGAUGUGUAGGAUAGGUGGGAGGCUUUGAAGUGUGGACGCCAGUCUGCAUGGAGCCGACCUUGAAAUACCACCCUUUAAUGUUUGAUGUUCUAACGUGGACCCGUAAUCCGGGUUGCGGACAGUGUCUGGUGGGUAGUUUGACUGGGGCGGUCUCCUCCUAAAGAGUAACGGAGGAGCACGAAGGUUGGCUAAUCCUGGUCGGACAUCAGGAGGUUAGUGCAAUGGCAUAAGCCAGCUUGACUGCGAGCGUGACGGCGCGAGCAGGUGCGAAAGCAGGUCAUAGUGAUCCGGUGGUUCUGAAUGGAAGGGCCAUCGCUCAACGGAUAAAAGGUACUCCGGGGAUAACAGGCUGAUACCGCCCAAGAGUUCAUAUCGACGGCGGUGUUUGGCACCUCGAUGUCGGCUCAUCACAUCCUGGGGCUGAAGUAGGUCCCAAGGGUAUGGCUGUUCGCCAUUUAAAGUGGUACGCGAGCUGGGUUUAGAACGUCGUGAGACAGUUCGGUCCCUAUCUGCCGUGGGCGCUGGAGAACUGAGGGGGGCUGCUCCUAGUACGAGAGGACCGGAGUGGACGCAUCACUGGUGUUCGGGUUGUCAUGCCAAUGGCACUGCCCGGUAGCUAAAUGCGGAAGAGAUAAGUGCUGAAAGCAUCUAAGCACGAAACUUGCCCCGAGAUGAGUUCUCCCUGAGACUUAGAGUCUCCUGAAGGAACGUUGAAGACGAC
Molecule: ribosomal RNA, 2246 nt
Filed under: Salmonella enterica subsp. enterica serovar Typhimurium
Lineage: Bacteria; Pseudomonadati; Pseudomonadota; Gammaproteobacteria; Enterobacterales; Enterobacteriaceae
Description: partial 23S ribosomal RNA
Rfam family: Bacterial large subunit ribosomal RNA
Source: RNAcentral